UUUCAUGUGGCUCAUGCAUUCUGUGCUUGUAAUAUAGCUAGGUUUUGAUGUACUUAAUCUCAUUUGUUAUUGUUUGCAGAGGGCAAGACUGACUACAGGGCCAGGAUUAGGCUCACCAACCAAGAUAAGAACAAGUACAACACACCGAAGUACCGCUUCGUUGUGAGAUUUGUAUCCUUUUAGUUCUUUUUAUCAUGGUAUUUAUGCAUUUCCUCGUAAAUUCUGGUUGUUAUACCAUAUCUUUAUUAUUAUCAUACUGUAUGCCUUAAUAGUACAUUAGACAAACAAAGAUAUCACAGCUCAAAUUGUCUAUGCUACCAUUGCGGGUGAUAUCGUGAUGGCUGCUGCCUACUCCCAUGAGCUGCCUCGUUAUGGUCUUGAAGUUGGUCUCACCAACUAUGCGGCAGGUAGUUUCCUCAGCUGAAUGAAUAUGCAGAAUGCUGGUUUGUCUUGCUGUAUGC
RNAcentral lists this long non-coding RNA (461 nucleotides) under Oryza sativa (Asian cultivated rice). RNAcentral describes it as "long non-coding RNA (OSAT_LNC001748)". Lineage: Eukaryota; Viridiplantae; Streptophyta; Magnoliopsida; Poales; Poaceae. The record is from RNAcentral.